GGCUACAGUGAGUGCAGUCACACACUGGACUGGAGACAUUUCAUUUGGCAGCUGUCUCAGGUCUCGUCCAUGGUUCUGAUGUGGCUGGGUCCAGUAGGACUCCACGGAUGGCAGGCAGGUCUACUCAACUUGAAGGAAGUGCAGACUCGGGAUGCGUUGAUAAACUGAGCUACUGUGAACUGACAUUGGUUCUAGAGGAGGAAAACUUCAGGUUUAGAAGAAAAAAAAAGAGCAACUAAAUGUCUGUGCUUAAUAAGCUUUAAAGAGACUUGGUGAGCUGGUGUUAGCGAGAAUGGUUUUGCAAAAGGAAUCUAUUAUGAUGCUUCACAACUGCCCAGACCGAGGAAUAAUGCCCUUUCUGCUACUCUUUGAGGUCUGAAGGACUUUUUUUUUUUUUUUUUUUUCAAUUAAAGACUGCAUCCUAAGAGUGACCCUACAGGUGCACAAAGGAGAGACUGGUUGCCUGUCAGGGGCGUUGACGAAGGUUUUGUCUGUUUCAGUGUGGAUGCUGUGGAAGCGUUUUAUUGAUUCUAGGGAAAAUUCAGCUGCUUUUUAGUUCAGAUACAUUUGACCUAAAUGUUUUUACUCAGAAAAAAAUAAAGGAAGAGAGAAUGAAAGAAGACUGGGCUUACCUCUACUGUGUCCUUGCUAAAACAGAUGAAGGACACUUUUAAAAACCCAUCACCCUUCGACUCUCUUUUGGUUUGAUCCAGAGCAGUAAGUAUGAGGUGGGUUCACCACGGAGAGGAACAAAACAACAUGUAACAUGGAGCUCAGGGCUUUAGUACUGUUCCUAUUAAGAUCCAAAGCAGACCGAAAGAAUUCACUGGAAAGAAAAUACUGUUAUCUGAAGGUAAAUUCUAGAAAGGACUUC
Molecule: long non-coding RNA, 874 nt
Filed under: Canis lupus familiaris (dog)
Lineage: Eukaryota; Metazoa; Chordata; Mammalia; Carnivora; Canidae
Description: lncRNA (ENSCAFG00000041824.2)
Source: RNAcentral